ACUGCAGUCGAGCGAACGGACGAGAAGCUUGCUUCCUCUGAUGUUAGCGGCGGACGGGUGAGUAACACGUGGAUAACCUACCUAUAAGACUGGGAUAACUUCGGGAAACCGGAGCUAAUACCGGAUAAUAUUUUGAACCGCAUGGUUCAAAAGUGAAAGACGGUCUUGCUGUCACUUAUAGAUGGAUCCGCGCUGCAUUAGCUAGUUGGUAAGGUAACGGCUUACCAAGGCAACGAUGCAUAGCCGACCUGAGAGGGUGAUCGGCCACACUGGAACUGAGACACGGUCCAGACUCCUACGGGAGGCAGCAGUAGGGAAUCUUCCGCAAUGGGCGAAAGCCUGACGGAGCAACGCCGCGUGAGUGAUGAAGGUCUUCGGAUCGUAAAACUCUGUUAUUAGGGAAGAACAUAUGUGUAAGUAACUGUGCACAUCUUGACGGUACCUAAUCAGAAAGCCACGGCUAACUA
RNAcentral lists this ribosomal RNA (467 nucleotides) under Staphylococcus aureus. RNAcentral describes it as "bacterial SSU rRNA". It matches the Rfam family "Bacterial small subunit ribosomal RNA", at positions 53 to 503 of the family's 1533-position model. The record is from RNAcentral. Lineage: Bacteria; Bacillati; Bacillota; Bacilli; Caryophanales; Staphylococcaceae.